This 437-nucleotide ribosomal RNA is filed under the name uncultured Lachnospiraceae bacterium. Its description in RNAcentral is "bacterial SSU rRNA". It matches the Rfam family "Bacterial small subunit ribosomal RNA", at positions 341 to 792 of the family's 1533-position model. Lineage: Bacteria; Bacillati; Bacillota; Clostridia; Lachnospirales; Lachnospiraceae. The record is from RNAcentral.
ACGGGAGGCAGCAGUGGGGAAUAUUGGGCAAUGGGCGAAAGCCUGACCCAGCAACGCCGCGUGAAGGAAGAAGGUCUUCGGAUUGUAAACUUCUUUUAUGAGGGACGAAGGACGUGACGGUACCUCAUGAAUAAGCCACGGCUAACUACGUGCCAGCAGCCGCGGUAAUACGUAGGUGGCAAGCGUUAUCCGGAUUUACUGGGUGUAAAGGGAGCGUAGACGGUUCUGCAAGUCUGAUGUGAAAGGCAGGGGCUCAACUCCUGGACUGCAUUGGAAACUGUAGAACUAGAGUGCCGGAGAGGUAAGCGGAAUUCCUAGUGUAGCGGUGAAAUGCGUAGAUAUUAGGAGGAACACCAGUGGCGAAGGCGGCUUACUGGACGGUAACUGACGUUGAGGCUCGAAAGCGUGGGGAGCAAACAGGAUUAGAUACCCUGGUA